AAAAUUGGUUAAUUUCCAGCUGGAUCAGUAUCCUGAGCCUGUUUUUCGCAUAGCCCUAUAAUCAUCUGUGCUGGUAAAACUGAAGUAUAGUGCAGGGACAAGCAACUGUGAGAGGACUCUGCUUGAGAAAGGACUUCCACCAAAAAUCUCCAUCGAACCGCAGCCGAGUCCUCGGCUCCGCCUAGCCUGAACCUCUGCAUAAUGCAAGACAGUUACAACUGUAAUUGCCUUAUGUUAGGAUCUCUUCCUUACAGGCACAACAUUUUAAAGAAGAAAAAUGAAAGAUAAUAAAUGAAAACAAAUACGCAAGCUACUGGAACAGCUAAUCUGUUUUCUCUCUCACUAUAGAUACGAGACUUAGAAGAAAACAACAAAACUAACUCAUUUUAGGAUGUCUGCUUGCCACAGUAGCUAGUAAGAAGUCAAUGGGCCAGAUCCAGAGCUGGUAAAAAUCGACACAGAAGUUAGUACGAUUACCCCAGGUUAAACUUCCUGGAGAGCCCAUUCACCAGUAGAGGCUGGAGGCUGAUUGCCUGGAGAGCAGCUCUGCAGAGAAGGACCUGGGAGUCCUGGUGGACAAUAAGCUAAACAUGAGCCAACAAUGUGUCCGUGUGGCAAAGAAGGCCAAUUGCAUCCUGGGCUGCAUUAGGAAGAGUAUUGCCAGCAGGUCGAGGGAGGUGAUCCUUCCCCUCUACUCAGCCCUGGUGAGGCCACAUCUGGAGUGCUAGGUCCAGUUCUGGCUUCCCCAGUACAAGAGAGACAUGGAGCUACUGGAGCAAGUCCACUGAAGGGCCACAAAGAUGAUUAAGGGACUGGAGCAUCUCUCAUAUAAGGAAAGGUUGAGAAAUCUGGGAUUGUCCAGUCUGGAGAAGAAAAAGCUCAGGAGGGAUCUGAUCAAUGUUCAUAAAUAUCUGAAGGGGGUGUGUGGAGAAGAUGGGGCCAGACUUUUCUCAGUGGUCCUCAGUGCCAUGAUGAGAGGCAAUGGGCACAAACUGAAACACAGGAAAUUCUGUCUGAACAUGAGAAAACAUUUUUUUUACUGUGAUAGUGGCUAUACACUGGAAAUAAAUGUUCAGAGAGGCUGUGGAGCCUCCAUUCUUG
This is a long non-coding RNA of Dromaius novaehollandiae (emu), 1101 nucleotides long. RefSeq lists it as uncharacterized. The record is from RefSeq and is a predicted model, not a curated record. The transcript is spliced from 3 exons. NCBI's taxonomy places the organism in Eukaryota, Metazoa, Chordata, Aves, Casuariiformes, Dromaiidae.